Molecule: non-coding RNA, 130 nt
Organism: Triticum aestivum (bread wheat)
Lineage: Eukaryota; Viridiplantae; Streptophyta; Magnoliopsida; Poales; Poaceae
Source: Rfam
GUCCUAUUACCUCCGUCCCAAAUUACUUGUCUUGGAUUUGUCUAGAUACGGAUGUAUCUAACACUAAAAUGUGUCUAGAUACAUUCUUGAAAAAUCUAAGACAAGUAAUUCGGGACGGAGGGAGUGUUAG